GACGAACGCUGGAGGCGUGCUUAACACAUGCAAGACGAACGAUGAAAUGGAGCUUGCUCCAUGGAUUAGUGGCGAACGGGUGAGUAAUACGUGAAUAACCUGCCCUUAAUUUUGGAAUAACCCAGGGAAACCUGGGCUAAUACCGGAUAAGUAAACCUGUGGCAUCACAUGGUUUUGGAAAGUCUUUCGAUUAAGGAUGGAUUCGCGGCCUAUCAGCUUGUUGGUGAGGUAAUGGCUCACCAAGGCGACGACGGGUAGCCGGCCUGAGAGGGUGAACGGCCACACUGGGACUGAGACACGGCCCAGACUCCUACGGGAGGCAGCAGUGGGGAAUAUUGCGCAAUGGACGAAAGUCUGACGCAGCGACGCCUCGUGAGGGACGAAGGUCUUCGGAUUGUAAACCUCUUUCAGCAGGGACGAAGCGAAAGUGACGGUACCUGCAGAAGAAGCACCGGCUAACUAUGUGCCAGCCGCCGCAGUAA
RNAcentral lists this ribosomal RNA (482 nucleotides) under uncultured bacterium. Its description in RNAcentral is "partial 16S ribosomal RNA". It matches the Rfam family "Bacterial small subunit ribosomal RNA", at positions 28 to 523 of the family's 1533-position model. The record is from RNAcentral.